Molecule: ribosomal RNA, 455 nt
Filed under: uncultured bacterium
Lineage: Bacteria
Description: bacterial SSU rRNA
Rfam family: Bacterial small subunit ribosomal RNA
Source: RNAcentral
GGACCCGCACAAGCGGUGGAGCGUGUGGUUUAAUUCGAUGCUAAGCGAAGAACCUUAUCCAAGGCUUGACAUAUAAACGUUUAGUCUCUUGGAAACAAGAGAUGAUCCGCAAGGAUGUUUAUACAGGUGCUGCAUGGCUGUUGUCAGCUCGUGUCGUGAGAUGUUGGGUUAAGUCCCACAACGAGCGCAACCCUCAUUGUUAGUUAUUAUGUCUAACAAGACCGCCCUGCCAAAACGGGGAGGAAGGUGGGGAUGACUUCUAGUCCUCAUAGCCCUUAUGCCUUGGGCUACACACGCGCUACAAUGGGAAGUACAAUAGGUUGCCAAACCGCAAGGUGGAGCUAAUCCCUAAAACUUCUCUCAGUUCAGAUUGCAGGCUGAAAUUCGCCUGCAUGAAGUUGGAAUCGCUAGUAAUCGUGGAUCAGCAUGCUACGGUGAAUACGUUCUCGGGUCUU